CGCUGGCGGCGUGCCUAACACAUGCAAGUCGAACGGGGUAGAGAGCUUCGGGUUUUCUACUUAGUGGCGAACGGGUGAGUAACGCGUGAGAAACCUGCCUUUCAGUGGGGGGACAACAGUUGGAAACGACUGCUAAUACCGCAUAAUGUUAUUUGGGGGCAUCCUUGAAUAACCAAAGAUUUAUCGCUGAGAGAUGGCCUCGCGUCUGAUUAGAUAGUUGGUGAGGUUAACGGCCCACCAAGUCUGCGAUCAGUAGCCGGACUGAGAGGUUGAUCGGCCACAUUGGGACUGAGACACGGCCCAGACUCCUACGGGAGGCAGCAGUGGGGGAUAUUGCACAAUGGGCGAAAGCCUGAUGCAGCGACGCCGCGUGAGGGAAGACGGUUUUCGGAUUGUAAACCUCUGUCUUCGGGGACGAAAAUGACGGUACCCGAGGAGGAAGCCACGGCUAACUACGUG
RNAcentral lists this ribosomal RNA (459 nucleotides) under uncultured bacterium. Its description in RNAcentral is "bacterial SSU rRNA". It matches the Rfam family "Bacterial small subunit ribosomal RNA", at positions 34 to 507 of the family's 1533-position model. The record is from RNAcentral.